UACGGAGGGUGCAAGCGUUGUUCGGAAUUACUGGGCGUAAAGCGUGUCUAGGCGGAUUUGCAAGUCUGGUGUGAAAGACCUUGGCUUAACCAAGGAACUGCGCCUGAAACUACAAGUCUUGAAUUAUGAAGAGGUGAGUGGAAUUCCUAGUGUAGCAGUGAAAUGCGUAGAUAUUAGGAGGAACAUCAGAGGCGAAGGCGGCUCACUGGUCAUUGAUUGACGCUGAAGCGCGAAAGCGCAGGUAGCAAACAGG
RNAcentral lists this ribosomal RNA (253 nucleotides) under uncultured bacterium. Its description in RNAcentral is "partial 16S ribosomal RNA". It matches the Rfam family "Bacterial small subunit ribosomal RNA", at positions 524 to 776 of the family's 1533-position model. The record is from RNAcentral.